CCUACGGGUGGCAGCAGUCGAGAAUCAUUCACAAUGGGGGAAACCCUGAUGGUGCGACGCCGCGUGGGGGAAUGAAGGUCUUCGGAUUGUAAACCCCUGUCAUGUGGGAGCAAAUUAAAAAGAUAGUACCACAAGAGGAAGAGACGACUAACUCUGUGCCAGCAGCCGCGGUAAUACAGAGGUCUCAAGCGUUGUUCGGAAUCACUGGGCGGAAAGCGUGCGUAGGCUGUUUCGUAAGUCGUGUGUGAAAGGCGCGGGCUCAACCCGCGGACGGCACAUGAUACUGCGAGACUAGAGUAAUGGAGGGGGAAGCGGAAUUCUCGGUGUAGCAGUGAAAUGCGUAGAUAUAGAGAGGAACACUCGUGGCGAAGGCGGGUUCCUGGACAUUAACUGACGCUGAGGCACGAAGGCCAGGGGAGCGAAAGGGAUUAGAUACCCCUGUAGUC
RNAcentral lists this ribosomal RNA (446 nucleotides) under uncultured bacterium. RNAcentral describes it as "partial 16S ribosomal RNA". It matches the Rfam family "Bacterial small subunit ribosomal RNA", at positions 338 to 795 of the family's 1533-position model. The record is from RNAcentral.